GCCUCACCUGCACCCAUCACCCAGCGUCCUCCUGCCACCUCUUGCUCUAGCUGUCAUGCAUGCGUCUUCCGUGCCUUCCCGAGUCCAGUCCGGUGUCAAGAGAGACCCCAGAUCUCUACAGGCUGAUACUAAGGAUGCUGAAUGCUGUGGGCGUGGGCAGAUUUUGUGGGGCUGGAAGACAGCAGCCCUCAGGCUGAACUCAUUCGCCAGCCCCUUCCCAGCACUUGGAGAAACCCAGGUUGGGCGAUUCUAUCCAGACACCUGGAGGGCUGCGCCCAAGCUGCUGCACUCUUGGCGACAGGAACUGAUUUGGAACAGAAGUGGCCUAGAAAGGGCAGGAGAUUGGAUGGUGCCUUCACUGAACAUGGAAGAACUUUAAAACUGCCUGCCCUCCCUCUCCAGCUUUGCCAGCAGGAACUCUCAGCUGACCUCCACCUUCUGCCCCCAGCACCUUGCACACAGUCAGUGUUUUCCCAGGGAUCUGAAGGAAGCCACAGACACAGCCUUGGCUGUAAUGUGAACCUCUUAAGGCGUUUACAAGACUCUCCAACAUCAAUGAUUUUUUUUUUUGUACUUGUUGUUCUAUUUCUGACUCUAGAAUAGUCCCAGCACCUGUUCUGUCUGAUGAAAUAA
This 633-nucleotide long non-coding RNA is filed under the name Mus caroli (Ryukyu mouse). Its description in RNAcentral is "lncRNA (MGP_CAROLIEiJ_G0002472.1)". Lineage: Eukaryota; Metazoa; Chordata; Mammalia; Rodentia; Muridae. The record is from RNAcentral.